CUAUACAUGCAAGUCGAGCGGACAGAUGGGAGCUUGCUCCCUGAUGUUAGCGGCGGACGGGUGAGUAACACGUGGGUAACCUGCCUGUAAGACUGGGAUAACUCCGGGAAACCGGGGCUAAUACCGGAUGGUUGUUUGAACCGCAUGGUUCAAACAUAAAAGGUGGCUUCGGCUACCACUUACAGAUGGACCCGCGGCGCAUUAGCUAGUUGGUGAGGUAACGGCUCACCAAGGCAACGAUGCGUAGCCGACCUGAGAGGGUGAUCGGCCACACUGGGACUGAGACACGGCCCAGACUCCUACGGGAGGCAGCAGUAGGGAAUCUUCCGCAAUGGACGAAAGUCUGACGGAGCAACGCCGCGUGAGUGAUGAAGGUUUUCGGAUCGUAAAGCUCUGUUGUUAGGGAAGAACAAGUACCGUUCGAAUAGGGCGGUACCUUGACGGUACCUAACCAGAAAGCCACGGCUAACUACGUGCCAGCAGCCGCGGUAAUACGUAGGUGGCAAGCGUUGUCCGGAAUUAUUGGGCGUAAAGGGCUCGCAGGCGGUUUCUUAAGUCUGAUGUGAAAGCCCCCGGCUCAACCGGGGAGGGUCAUUGGAAACUGGGGAACUUGAGUGCAGAAGAGGAGAGUGGAAUUCCACGUGUAGCGGUGAAAUGCGUAGAGAUGUGGAGGAACACCAGUGGCGAAGGCGACUCUCUGGUCUGUAACUGACGCUGAGGAGCGAAAGCGUGGGGAGCGAACAGGAUUAGAUACCCUGGUAGUCCACGCCGUAAACGAUGAGUGCUAAGUGUUAGGGGGUUUCCGCCCCUUAGUGCUGCAGCUAACGCAUUAAGCACUCCGCCUGGGGAGUACGGUCGCAAGACAUGAAACUCAAAGGAAUUGACGGGGGCCCGCACAAGCGGUGGGAGCAUGUGGUUUAAUUCGAAGCAACGGCGAAGAACCUUACCAGGUCUUGACAUCCUCUGACAAUCCUAGAGAUAGGAC
RNAcentral lists this ribosomal RNA (985 nucleotides) under Bacillus subtilis. RNAcentral describes it as "bacterial SSU rRNA". It matches the Rfam family "Bacterial small subunit ribosomal RNA", at positions 49 to 1012 of the family's 1533-position model. The record is from RNAcentral. Lineage: Bacteria; Bacillati; Bacillota; Bacilli; Caryophanales; Bacillaceae.